GUUGCUAACGUUGUGCAUAUGUACCUCAAAUCUUUGCCAAGCAAUCAAUCCGAGCAGUCUACUAACCACCGCUAGGACUGAUUCCAAAAUAUGCACAAGAAGUACAAAGUGUAGUAUGAGUACAACAAAACCCAUGUACUCUGUAAGUACCGAGCCAAACUUCGACAAAAUAGUAACGAGGCUAAGGCGGGUCACUUACAAUAACCUGCACGCAGUAUAAUAAUAAUAAUAGAAAAAAAUAGGAAAUGGCAGCAAAACAGUUAACUAAUGAAGACAACUCAAUACUCGAAAUCAGUGAAACCACAAAUAUCAGUCCUCAGGAUCAAUUAUGAAAAUACUGAAAGCUAACACAAUACAAUAAUGAAUGCAACACACACAAUCCAUUGCGACGCACAACACGAUCCCACCAUACAAACACAAUCCUCCCUUAUUUCACCAUAUCAAUAUAAAGAAUAACAUAUAAAAUCUAUUGUGUUGUGCAGCCCGAUCCCACCAUAUUAAUUAGAAUCAAUAUAACAACACUCCAUUAUAUCAAC
This 536-nucleotide long non-coding RNA is filed under the name Nicotiana benthamiana. RNAcentral describes it as "long non-coding RNA (NBEN_LNC025817)". The record is from RNAcentral. Lineage: Eukaryota; Viridiplantae; Streptophyta; Magnoliopsida; Solanales; Solanaceae.